AACUUUCGGCAACGGAUCUCUUGGCUCUCGCAUCGAUGAAGAACGCAGCGAAAUGCGAUAAGGAAUGUGAAUUGCAGAAUUCAGUGAAUCAUCGAAUCUUUGAACGCACCUUGCGCCCCUUGGUUAUUCCUUGGGGCAUGCCUGUUUGAGUAUUAUGAACAGCUCAACUCUCACGGUCUUCCGUGACGAGCUUGGACUUUGGGGGUUUGCUGGCCCUGCGGCGGACUCCUCUGAAACAAAUCAGCUUGACAGUGUUGGGCGGCAUCUCACGGGUGUGAUAACUAUCUACGCUCGCGGUUGUCUGCCAGGUAACCCUCAGCGAUGAAUGUUCAUUGGGGCUCAUAAACGUCUCUCCACAGCGAGGACAGCUUUUGAACGUUCGAUCUCAAAUCAGGUAGGACAACCCGCUGAACUUUAGCAUAUCAAUACGCGCAGGCU
Molecule: unclassified non-coding RNA, 438 nt
Filed under: uncultured Tomentella
Lineage: Eukaryota; Fungi; Basidiomycota; Agaricomycetes; Thelephorales; Thelephoraceae
Description: sequence contains ITS2
Rfam family: 5.8S ribosomal RNA (bases 1-155)
Source: RNAcentral